CGGCUAAUGUUUUAAAUUUAAUUUUUGAAGUUUUUAAAAAAUUUCUGGACACUUUGUUUAAAAACUGGGUGAGAGUGUAUUUGUGCCUAUACAGUAUCAUCCACAUACAACCCCUUUGAUCAGUAAUUUAUUUCAAGUAUGAGGACCGGUGAAGAUUAGUUUAAUAACUUCUUCCUCUUAACAUUCAUAAUUUCAGGGGAAGGGUGGAUGGAAACACAGGGUUUCUGUACCUUUUAAGGGUUGUACAGUAUAAGAAGCAAUGAUUAUCAAGGGAUGGCUUUUCUCAAGCAAGGGCUGGUCAGCAUCCGAUUCAGGCUGCUGGUUUGGGUGUCAUGACGGAGACUAAAUCAGUUGUUUCGUAUAUUAUGAGGAUAUCUUUAAGUACAAGGUGGGGAUUCUUCAGGAGUUGGGGGGAGCACAUGGCCGACUCCCCAACUGAUGGGGUUUGUGCCUGUAAUUUGCAGAAGGGAAGCCAGAUAAAGCCAGCUGCAACAAGCACUUCUGCUUUAAAACUGGCCAUGUGGCUUGUUCUAAAACCAGCCAGUGCUUCCAGGAGGUUUCUCUCUACAACUAAGGUUUUCUGAAAGGAUCUUACAAUAGAAAAUGGAACCCUUGGCUGGUCCAGGCACUCCAGGAGCAGAGCCAUUCACAGAUGCACAAGUCUUCGUAGCCAACUACGCUUCUGAGCUUGGCUUGUCGCCAGCUGGCGGGUGCAGUCCAGCCUACUUCACGGACUCUGGAGAGCUACUGGGGGGUCUUGGUGGACUAGGUGAUGUUGUCUGUUGGAGUGACAAUGUGGAUCACUGCAUCUCUUACCUGAACAAGGAAUUGGUGAUGCUGGGGCUCCCUGCCUUAUAUAAGGACGAUGGUUCUGGAGAUGGUGCUGAGCAUGGAUUUGACCUACUGGCAUUGGUGAAUGGCACUAGUGAGCUGCUAAAUCUGUAUCAAGCAGCAAUGGCCAAGCUGGGCGACAUGGAGGCAGAGGAUGUGCGGCGGGCAGGAGAACUGGAUUACCUGAGAAUGCGACAUGGCAAACUCAAGGUGAGAGCUUCCCAAUUCUAUAUUGCUUGUACCACAUUGCAUCUUGUGCAGUUGUUAUAGUUUCACGAGAACUAACCCAAGACAUUCUGAUAUUUGAUUCUUAAAAAAAACAAACCCCUAAAACAAAACGCAGAUGGUAUCAUUAAAAGCACAGGCAACAAUCCAUUUGGAAAUACUUUCUCCAAACUCUCUUGAAAUGGAGUGGAGCACAUUGUGUGCCAUUGCUCACUGGGCAGGUUUAUCUGCUUUUGACCAUCUUACUUUUGGAGAGUAUCCAGCCCACCUUAGAACCUCUCUUCAUAGUAAGGCAGUCUGUGUUCAGCCUUCCAGAGACCUGGCCAUUGGGAACAACCAGCCAGGAAUUCUUCCUUAUAAACACAGCCCUGGCCAAUAGUCCUUUCCAUUUAUACCCCUUAGACUUCAAGGCAGCUACUGAACACACGCUGCACAUCAUAAACAGACA
RNAcentral lists this long non-coding RNA (1504 nucleotides) under Pogona vitticeps (central bearded dragon). Its description in RNAcentral is "lncRNA (ENSPVIG00000009113.1)". The record is from RNAcentral. Lineage: Eukaryota; Metazoa; Chordata; Lepidosauria; Squamata; Agamidae.